AGCGAACGCUGGCGGCAGGCCUAACACAUGCAAGUCGAGCGCCCGUAGCAAUACGGGAGCGGCAGACGGGUGAGUAACACGUGGGAACGUACCCUUCGGUUCGGAAUAACCCAGGGAAACUUGGACUAAUACCGAAUACGUCCGUAAGGAGAAAGAUUUAUCGCCGAAGGAUCGGCCCGCGUCCGAUUAGCUAGUUGGUGGGGUAAUGGCCCACCAAGGCUACGAUCGGUAGCUGGUCUGAGAGGAUGANCAGCCACACUGGGACUGAGACACGGCCCAGACUCCUACGGGAGGCAGCAGUGGGGAAUCUUGCGCAAUGGGCGAAAGCCUGACGCAGCGACGCCGCGUGAGGGAUGACGGCCUG
Molecule: ribosomal RNA, 364 nt
Filed under: uncultured bacterium
Lineage: Bacteria
Description: bacterial SSU rRNA
Rfam family: Bacterial small subunit ribosomal RNA
Source: RNAcentral